UCCCUGGUAGUCUAGGGUUAGCGUUGGGCACUUUCAUUGCUUUGGCCCAGGUUCAAUCCCUGGUCUGGGAA
RNAcentral lists this transfer RNA (71 nucleotides) under Sus scrofa (pig). It matches the Rfam family "tRNA". From Rfam's summary of the family: Transfer RNA (tRNA) molecules are approximately 80 nucleotides in length. Their secondary structure includes four short double-helical elements and three loops (D, anti-codon, and T loops). Further hydrogen bonds mediate the characteristic L-shaped molecular structure. tRNAs have two regions of fundamental functional importance: the anti-codon, which is responsible for specific mRNA codon recognition, and the 3' end, to which the tRNAs corresponding amino acid is attached (by aminoacyl-tRNA synthetases). tRNAs cope with the degeneracy of the genetic code in two manners: having more than one tRNA (with a specific anti-codon) for a particular amino acid; and 'wobble' base-pairing, i.e. permitting non-standard base-pairing at the 3rd anti-codon position. Lineage: Eukaryota; Metazoa; Chordata; Mammalia; Artiodactyla; Suidae. The record is from Rfam by way of RNAcentral.